CGGACGGGUGAGUAAUGUCUGGGAAACUGCCUGAUGGAGGGGGAUAACUACUGGAAACGGUAGCUAAUACCGCAUAACGUCGCAAGACCAAAGAGGGGGACCUUCGGGCCUCUUGCCAUCGGAUGUGCCCAGAUGGGAUUAGCUAGUAGGUGGGGUAACGGCUCACCUAGGCGACGAUCCCUAGCUGGUCUGAGAGGAUGACAAGCCACACUGGAACUGAGACACGGUCCAG
RNAcentral lists this ribosomal RNA (232 nucleotides) under uncultured Enterobacterales bacterium. Its description in RNAcentral is "partial 16S ribosomal RNA". It matches the Rfam family "Bacterial small subunit ribosomal RNA", at positions 99 to 334 of the family's 1533-position model. The record is from RNAcentral. Lineage: Bacteria; Pseudomonadati; Pseudomonadota; Gammaproteobacteria; Enterobacterales.